RNAcentral lists this ribosomal RNA (326 nucleotides) under uncultured eukaryote. RNAcentral describes it as "partial 18S ribosomal RNA". It matches the Rfam family "Eukaryotic small subunit ribosomal RNA", at positions 1470 to 1796 of the family's 1831-position model. The record is from RNAcentral.
CCCUUAGAUGUCCUGGGCCGCACGCGCGCUACACUGAACGGAUCAGCGCGUUUUCCCUUCCCGAGAGGGACGGGUAACCUGCUGAACCCCGUUCGUGGUAGGGAUCGGGGCUUGCAAUUAUUCCCCGUGAACCAGGAAUGCCCAGUAAGUGCAAGUCAUAAGCUUGCGUUGAUUACGUCCCUGCCCUUUGUACACACCGCCCGUCGCUACUACCGAUUGAACGUUUUAGUGAGGUACUCGGACUGAGCCUCAGAAGAUUCACGUCUUUUGUGCUGCUCGGGAAGAUUCCCAAACUUGAGCGUUUAGAGGAAGUAGAAGUCGUAACA